Long non-coding RNA from Chiloscyllium plagiosum (whitespotted bambooshark), 559 nucleotides. RefSeq lists it as uncharacterized. The record is from RefSeq and is a predicted model, not a curated record. Lineage: Eukaryota; Metazoa; Chordata; Chondrichthyes; Orectolobiformes; Hemiscylliidae.
GCCUCCUCCCAUCUGGGUGAAGUGUACGGUCCCGCGCAAUCUCUUAGGAGCUACCAUGGACCGGGAGCUAUUGUCCGAUUCUGCGAAAGAGUACAACAGGAUGAAAGUCAAUAUCGAAAAACUUACUGAACAAUCUUCUGAGUUGGCCAUAUAUCAGAAAAAAAUGGUGGAACACAAUGCAGUACUUAAAAAUCUCAGCCAGAAUUUCAAUCAGGUAAUGUGAGGUCCAUCAAUUCCCACACAACAGACCUAAACAAGAAGACAUAACACACCCAGAGACUCUAGCCACCCUGCCAUACAUCAAAGACAUCUCAGAGAUGACAACCAGAUUACUCCAGCCCCUCUGCAUCAUGGUAGCCCACAAACCUACCAUCACACUGAAACAGCUCCUGAUGAAUUUAAAAGACUCCAUACCAACAACCAGCAGGAUAUAUACAAACCGUCUUAUACAAAAUACUCUGUAAGGCCUGACAUUCAACCCCGAACUCCAUUAAUAAACACAUAGAUUUACCCCAUUUACCAACCUCUCAGAAACAGAAUCGGAAAUGAUAUCACCCAC